UGGUGUUGAAGUAGAGGUUCCCGACAAAGUCAAAAAGUCUUAAUGCAAAAAUGCUAAUCUAAGUGGUUCUUUUAAGCAUUUAAAAUCAAAAACGGGUUGGUGCAGACUCUAACACGGGAGGAGGGUUAAAAUGUUAAUGCACCAGUCUUGCAGUAAAACCAGCGAAACACAUGGACAUUAUGUGCGUUUAGGCGUGAAGUUGAUUUGGUUGUUCCUGCACUAAAAACAAAAUGUCAGUGUCAAAGUCUGGUGUUUAUUAUCUACAUUGUUGUGCAUGUGUCAGAUCAAUGAAGAUGCAUUAAAAUAGUUAACAGGGAGUUAGUCUGGAUGCAGACACUUGUUUUCAGGGGUUGGUGUGAAAACUGCUGGUGCACUUUAUGACGUCUCUUUGCUCAGACAGUCGGGUAGAAGUGGCUCUGUAUCGUCUGUUUAUUCUACCACCAACUCAAAUGUAUCCUGCAGUUAUAGUUUCAGUUUGAAAUCAACCUGGCUGUUGGUUUUUCUUGUAUUUGUAAGUAAUUAUCUCUAUUGGUGAGUAAGCAGGAGCAGUCUGCAGACAACUGUACACAUUCCCUGUCUCGUGGUGAGGUUGCCAGGCAAUGUGAGCUGCUGGAUUGAGGUUGCUCUAUGGCUUUUUUUUGCUCUCUCAGACUGCUUUCUCCAUUGCUCUCUGUCUUCCACCCCCCAAUCUCUCCUUCUCAGCCCCUCUCUCCUCAUCUGCAUACUAAUAGAUGGACUAAAAGCGUAUGAAAAACCAGGACUGUCAAACAGAUUAUUGAUAUUCGUCACUUUCUAGUGUCUUUGCUGAGAAAGAAGUUUAAGGACACUUCAUCUAUUGUUAUCUGCUGAAUUUAUAGUUGGCACUAAUUUGCUGUGUCGGACAUAGCAGACAGUAAGUCUACUACUGUCUCUGCUGUUAAUGUUGGUGAAUAGGUUUUAUUCUGUCGUGGUCCACAAGAGCGUUUUCUUUAUCUUUGUGUUACAAUCAAAGGAGGGCAGAGUCCAAGUUCAAGAGAAGUACAUCAUCUUCUCUUGUGACUGUUUUUGCCGUUUUGUGCUUUUUUCUAAAACUACAAAACAGACAUUUUUCAAAAACUUCAGCAUCCUUAUCCCCACAGCAUCUGUAAACAAGAAGGAAUCAUUACUCUGACACCAACUCACAAACAGAGACUUUUGUCUCUUUUUAUACAUCGUAAACAAGGAAACUCUUAAUGACUGUGGCGUUAGCACUUCUCUUAGAAUUAAGUGUAAAUUCCUGUAGAAUGCAGUUAUACUCUUUUGUCUUUCGAUUAAGUUAUUACAGACAAGCAAAAAGCCACAUAUGAGUAUGAAAAGUCAGCAUUUUUAGUCAUGGAGGGGUUCCUCAAUGACCAGAUUCCUCUUCCAGAUAGGCCUUAUCCUCAGGAGACAGGUAUAAUUAGAGCAAUGGAAACAGGAAACACCUCGCCCUCCCUAUCGUUUUCUCCCUCCUCCCUCUCUCUCUCUCUUCCUCUAUCUGUGUUACUCUCCCUCUUCUCCACCUCUUCUUACUCAGAUGUGUAGUUUUUUGGAGUAAAUUAUCAUGUGCAGAGACGUGGAGUAAGACUUAUAAUGAGCCCUGUGAUGGUUAUCAGUGAGUCUUACAUCCUCGGGUUUACUGGAAAUGAGGACAUCUCUUGUGCCGGACUUUUUUUCUGAGAGAGCAAUUAGUGAGCUAUUCAAUGAGGACAGUUUGUAGAGAUUCUGACCUUUUUUAUUGACCUCUGUAUUUCUGUUACAAAAAAUACUGACAAGUGUCAGCAUUUUAAACUAAACUGGAGACUUAUGUGAGUCUUAAUGUUCUUGAGAAAUUCUAGAAAUACUAGAAUUGUACCUCGACCUCCUGACACGCGACCAUUCAUACGAAAUAGAUUAUUAUUUUUCCAUCUAUCUAAAAAGGAUUUUUUUGUACUAAAAAGUGGUAAAAAAAAAUUAAAUACAUUUUAAAAAUAAUAAUAAUAAAAUUCUCAUGGAAAGGAGGGGAUUAUUUUUUCUGUAUUCCAAUGAAGUGUGAAAUAAAUAAUAAAACUGUUUAUGCCAACCCACCAAACAUCGGAUGUCGAAGAGACGUGCAGAUCAAGUUAGUAUUGGGUCGGUCUAUCAAAGACCACAUCUAGACAUCAGUGCGACGUGCAAAAUAGGUUAGAAAUUUCGAUGUCCGAAUUGGACCUUUUUUUAGACGUCGCUCUGACGUUUAGAAUUUGGACGUCAUCUGAAGACCAAAUCUAGACGUCAGCACAACAUGCAAAAUGGAUCCAAGAUUUAGACGUCAUUAUUGGACCUCUUUUAGACGUUGAAAUGACGACCACAUUUGUACCUCAUCGUCGAAAAAAUACGUUAAAUAGAUGUCAUUUCAGCGUUGCGUUGCGCAGUGGGAGAAGGCCUGCAGUAAUCCAAUACAAAAUCGAGAAACACAAUCUCACAUUUCAGAAACUCCUACAACUACUACUUCUCUAAUUCUGUGGCACACAUCACAAAUGUGAGAGGAUGAGCAAACAUGUCUAUUUACAAUCAUGAUUGAGGUCUCUAGUGCGACAUCAGCUGUUCUUUACCGGAGUCUUUCUGUGUUAAUGGGGCAUUCAGCUUGACUUACCUCAGUGUUUUGGCCUUGAGUGCCAGUGAUUCACUUUGGGUGAAUGUUUGUUUACACACCUUUAGUUGUUCAGCCUAAUGUUAGGGAAGUAUUAGAGAAGCCUCUAAUCUUCACUCUUUCCUCCAAAGAUUAAAGACCCUGCACAGACCAGGUGUACAGUUCAGACUAAGGAUUAGCCACCCAUCCUUCUUCCUCCACAUAAGUGACCUGCUUGUGUUCCGUGAUACUGCGCUGUGGAGGUGCACAGAUCAUUUUCAGCUUCUCUUUACUUACCUUAAAUAGUCCCUCCUUCCUUGAAGAAAGAAAAAAGUCAGUGUUUUUUAUUGAUUCAGAGGAGUGGCUCCCACCUUUCCCCCUGCCUGGUGUGGAAUGCACACCUGGAGGUGUUUGCUGAGUGGCUCUAGUAAUCCACAGAACAAUGCAGGCUGACAUCUGGUGCGGUCCAAAUCACUGGAGGUAGUUUUGCCUGACAGGUGUUAAAUUGUCUGGAUGCAUCAGUUUGAUUGGGACCUUUUUGAUGUCUUUAUUUUGACAUGUAUGUGUAAUCCUUUAAUUCUAUCAUUGAUGGCAGAACAGGGAGUCCAGUCCUUUUGAAAUAGCAGAAAAAUGUCACUAAGUGAUGCAGAAAUGCAAUAAUUUUAUGUCAGAAGUUUCUUCACACAUUGGAUUCUUACAGACAAAGAGCUCAGGUAUAGGACAGUUGUCUAGACUUUGUUGACAUGGCAGGGCCAGCAGUGGAGUUGCACUACUCUCCCCUACGCUCCCCUCACAGUGUACACACAGGAGGGAGAUGGGUGCAGAUAAAACGCCUGGGUUACGCCCUGCCGAGGAAUUGGGAUGCCUGGGGGGGCCGGGAAACUUUCUGCCUGGCUGGCCCUUAAUAUUGUGAUUCUCCUCAGUCAACAAAGCUUUGCGUUUGAUGGAACAUGUCAGGUUCUUCUAGGAUCCACUCAGGGAGCUGGUCCUCUCCUCUGGUUAGACAGCUGUCGGCUCCUCAGAGCCUAGAGAGCCUGCGACUGCUGCAUGUGUUUUUGGAGACUUCAAAGCAAGAGAGCUGAGAGAGGUGGGGGUUGAUGUUAAAGCAAUUAAACUUUUUUUUCCUGAGAUUUGUUUAGAUUUUGUUUCCUGAUAAUAAGUGAGGUUGCAGUUAUUGUUUUUGUCAGAUCUUUGAGGCAUUUUUUCUCUUACAACUUAGCUUUGCGUUUUGACAGAGAGAAGUUAGCUUGAUAAUUUGUUACUGAACAACUAUAGGACAGUGAAUGUAAAAGUCUCUAAAACAUUGUAACCACUUGAUGAUCACUCAUUUACACUAUCUUUACUCUGAAAAUAGUCAUUCUGACAAUUUCCACCAAUGCAAUAACACUCAAUGUGCAUGAGUAGGACAUAGUAAGCCACUCUAAGUACUCGAGGAUGUAUGUAAAUGCUUGUUGAAACAGAUUUGUGCGUGGGUAAUCAGGCAAGUCUGUGCAAGGAUGUCAGAAUCUCAUAUCAAUGUGUUUGAUAUAAGGAGCAUUUUCCAUGACUUACCUGAUCUUCUGCCCCGCAGCGAAAAAACAAACUGUAAUUGGAUUUAAUAGGAUGCUUCUGCACUUGUGAUUGUGGUCAUUAAAGUGUGUGAGAUCUCUGCUCAUCAUGAUGCUGUUGUAGUGACACUUCAGUGUAUUGACUUGAUCAGACAGAGCGUGUCCCUUCUCCUUGACUCCAUGGCGACUUGUCACGGGGGGGGUUGCGCUGUGGGAGUUGCUGUUGCUGGUGUAACUCGACCUUGCCUCCUCCAACCACCUGUGCUCGCGUGCUCAGGGAAAACACUGGCUUGUGUGUUGGAGUGAGACGUCCACACAGCUGGGGGGCUGAGGUACAUUAGGCAGCUAUGACAGGUGGCAUUCUCCCCCAGCAGCGAGGAGCAUGGAUAUUGUCGGGGCUGUUAGUGUAACAGCUGCACCACGCUUCCAUGGAGGUCGGGGUUAAAUCUUUUGUUCUGAUUAAGACGUCAGGGAAAAUCAGGAAGUUCAUUUCUAAAUCUCAAUUAGGAGGCAUUUGUUUGGGAUGUGUGCACGUCACUGUGCGGAUACAGGAGCAGUCUUGCAUGGCAGUGGGAGGCCGGGGGUUGGGAUUGUACGUGGAUGUUUGUGUUUGUGUAGCUGUGUGCAUUUGUGGAGCAAGGCAAUCAAUCUGAAUGCUGGAGCCUGAAGUGUGCAUCAGCAGCACAGUGUCUGUCUGAGGGAGGAGAAACAGUUUAGGACCAGACCCCUGGGACUGGACGGGAAAGGGCAAAGGGGGCAGUAGCUUUUGAGGUUGAUGUGACGUGAGUUUUUGUGGCUGAGGCAGAGUGGUGACUUGUACUUUAGAUGGACCCAGCUUCUCUCCAGACCAGUAAGUAAAAUACACUCCGUCGUAUGUCCAGGGUUAUGAGCGUUUUGUUAAAUUGUCUUUGGAGGGGUCGAAAAAUAGAUAAUAAAUCAAGUUCUGGUGAGUCAGAGUUGGUUGAUUAACUUAUGUUGGCAAACUUUUCGGUCUGUUUGUUGUAGAAUUGGAUUGUGGCUAUUAGACCCAUGAAAAUAAACAGUUUGCUGAUUUUAAAAAGUAUAUUCUAAAAUCACAAGCAAUUUAUCAUUGUUUCUGAGACUUAACAGAUUUACUGAUACUGGAAUUAAUUGUUUCUGGCAGACCUAGUUGGUGUGGUUUUUCUAAGCUGCAGCAAAGCAGAGCUGCAAUGAUCGGAUGGAUUCAGCUGUUUUCAUAACUUAUAAAUUUAAACGUCUCCACUGUGUCAAAAUUCCUGUGAAAGAUUCAGAUAUCAAUGAAGAGUUUAAGAGGAAGAACUGGGUUGAAGUUUGAAGACUUCAUCACUGUGUAUUGGGUGGCCUGGGUGGCACUAUGAGGUUGGUACGAAGUGAUGUCGGACCAAGGUGUCACAUUCCACAGUUUGGUGUGGGUGUGUGUGUCUGUGUCAGGAGUGACCACCCAUGUAUUUACAGCAGAACAUGUACCUGAUCUCAGUUUGCCUAAAGGAAUGAUACAGUUCAGUCUUCAGUUGUUAAAUGUUUCUGUUUACUGGGUGAUGAUAAGUUAAGUGUGUGAAUGUAUGUGUGUGAGUGAGGUUGUGUUUUUAUAUCCUUGUUGGUACCAACUCUUUUUUUUUUUUUGGUUAUAUGUUUAUUAAAUUUUUCCAGAAACAAACCAAAAAAAAAAAACAUACAUUUGGCUCACACACACACACACAUUUUGUUUAAAUUUAUACAGGCGAGAGAUUCAUGAGUCAUCUCAUACAAAUAAAAUUGGUAAGUAAAAUAAAAGUAAAAUCAAUCAAGUGCACAUUACCGUGCAUAAUAGGUUCAUAUAUUCAAAGAAAGGUAUAGAAGCAAGAACAUUAAUUAAAUAAGACGCCAUUUUUAGGCAGUGCAUUAAAAGCUAUGAUAGCAACCCUCUCAUGAGAAUGUCAGAGAUAUUUAAACCAACAUAUGACAGAAAGGGUUCCCAUGUUUUACGAAACGCGUCAUCUUUGCUGUAUAGUUUACACGUCAG
Molecule: long non-coding RNA, 6136 nt
Filed under: Xyrichtys novacula (pearly razorfish)
Lineage: Eukaryota; Metazoa; Chordata; Actinopteri; Labriformes; Labridae
Source: RNAcentral